UCUUGUUGCAGGAAAACAAGCUCAGGGC
This 28-nucleotide non-coding RNA is filed under the name Homo sapiens (human). Lineage: Eukaryota; Metazoa; Chordata; Mammalia; Primates; Hominidae. The record is from RNAcentral.